This 709-nucleotide long non-coding RNA is filed under the name Zonotrichia albicollis (white-throated sparrow). RNAcentral describes it as "lncRNA (ENSZALG00000005116.1)". The record is from RNAcentral. Lineage: Eukaryota; Metazoa; Chordata; Aves; Passeriformes; Passerellidae.
CACCAGGCUGAAAUUUCCCUAUUUUUGGGGUUUUUUUUUCCAUUUAUUUCCACACACUUGUGUGCAAGCAAAAUCAUUUAUUGUGAAAUCCUCACCCUCCCAUCUCCCUGCUCCCUCACUCCACGUUCAGAUUGUUUACUGUGUGUAAAUUCAGAUUUUUGCUCUUUCCCCCUCAUUUUUUACGGCCUUUUUAUUAUAUUUUGCUCGCAGCUCGCCAACAUCUGCCUGCAGAAUCUCCCAUUUCAUAGAAAAGCAGGAAAAGCCAGGAUUUUCUGAUUUGGAAGAUGCUUUUGCUGGCUCGUGGUUUUGGGGUUUGUUCCCGCCCGCCCUGCCCCGGGGGGACUCGGCAAAAGCUGAAGGGAACCCAAGGAAAAUGAGAAGGAGCAGCUCAGAAGGGUCUCUCCUACAAAGGGAAAAGCAAAACCAACCCAAAAUCAGCAAAAAGCUGGGCAGCUCCAAAUUCUACUUGAAUCAGAGUAUGAAGCUUGGAGGCCUUGGACCUGACUAUGAAACAAUCAAAGAGAAAAAAGAAAAGAUGAAGCUGCAGAAGGAAUAUUCCAGGCAAAUUAAGGAAUAUAACAUGAAGAAUAUCACUGUGGUUCAGAGGCUGCCUGCAAAGCCCCAGGUGCCCUCAGUGUCCAGGCAGAAGGUGAGAGCUGAGUGACUGCAGGCUGCAGGACAAAGCUGGAAUUCAAUAAUAUCAGAAUUC